UUUUUUGUUAAUCCAGGCUUAGUUGUACAAUAAGAAACCUUCCAAGCUGCAGACUUUAUUCAAAACCAGAAGCGUUCCCAGACUAAAUUUGGUAUUUAUGAAGUUGCAAAGCACACACUUUUAUAACAUUCCAGAACUUCAUUUCAAUCUCCACCUUAAAAGGAUAUUAACUGGACAAUUAAAAGAAAAGCUAUUUACCCAGACAUUAACACUUCUGUCCACAGGAUUUGCAGGUGGUUCUGCCUGAUGGUUUCCAGUACAUCUGCGAUUACUACUGACCCAGUUUUGGAGGCAUGUUGAGACAUGAUCUUAAACAUUAUCAAGCAGCAAACUAUUCUGAUAGCAAGAUAAAAAGAGAUGUCCAUGAUUAGAACUUGUUUUAAAAAUAAAUGUGCCAUUAAGUAUAUCAUUAUUAGCACAUUAGUGUGUUAAAUUACAGCAGAUAUUUCAGUGCAUGAUACAGCAAUACCUUAUAGUUAUAUCCACUAAUGUUAUCCCUGUGUUUCCUCUUUUAAGACCUUAUUUUAGAAAUGACUUAUGCUGAAACGUUUUUAUUUAUUCUGUCAGAUAGUGUCAGAUACUUUAGGCCACCUUUUCAGAUGCUCUGAACAUCAGAGCAUUUCCUGCUUGACCGAGAUAAGAAGUUUAGAUGCUUAAGUUAUGGGAGAGAAAUCUUGGGCAACAUAAACCCCAGCAACUCUCCCCUCUCCCUCACAGGCACAAAACCCCAUUAAAGUUAAAAUCCCUACAACCUCACAGCAAGACAGUGUGUCGCAUUUUCCAUGACUCCUAAAGAAAAACUCAGCUAUGAGCAUUCCUAUUCCUCUCUCAUGGGCAGAUGAGCAGACAGAAUUGAAAUAAGAGUUUAUUUCCCUAAUAGAAAAGACUUCUCCAGAACUCAGCGAUAAUUUAAAAAUGAUGGAAGUUGUGAAACUAAAAAAUGCCUGCAGGCUGGCUUUUCUUUCUUUACAAUACAAAAACUUCUAUUUGUCCUUAUAGAGGAAGGGAAUGGCCCUACUGGAAACAAAACCAAAUGGUUCUAUUUUAAUUUGCCUACCAUUUCAGCCACUAAUGAUACAGCCUUAAAUGCCUGGUCAGCAGGGAAUCAUUAGUAGAGACUUCUGUAUCAAAAUGAAUUUGAUUUUAACAGGCAGGAGAACAUGAUGAACUAAGGAAUCUCUUAAGAUAUCUUGUAUUUUUCCUUUAAGACAAAGAUA
RNAcentral lists this long non-coding RNA (1217 nucleotides) under Strigops habroptila (Kakapo). RNAcentral describes it as "lncRNA (ENSSHBG00005012150.1)". The record is from RNAcentral. Lineage: Eukaryota; Metazoa; Chordata; Aves; Psittaciformes; Psittacidae.